Molecule: long non-coding RNA, 454 nt
Filed under: Laticauda laticaudata (blue-ringed sea krait)
Lineage: Eukaryota; Metazoa; Chordata; Lepidosauria; Squamata; Elapidae
Description: lncRNA (ENSLLTG00000008607.1)
Source: RNAcentral
CAACUCUUACAGCAGGGCCAAAAUGGAGAGGGCACUGCAGCAGAAACACCCCAAACAGCAGAUGCUAGAGAAGAACUAGUGGCAUCAGAAACGUCUGGAGAUGACGCCAAACUUCCAGAGUACUGUCUUCUGGCAAGCAGUGGCACUUGCUCCCGAAAGAGCUUAGGAAGUACAGAAAUCACAGCCACAUCCAUCCAAGGCUGUGGCACAGUUGAUAACAAUGACUCUCAAGAUGUUUGGACAGAAGCCAGUUGCCCCGAAUAAUUAGGAUUUUCGAUGGCUGGCUGAAAAUUUUCAACUUUUGUGUCAAAGCUGCUCUUCUUUUUUCUAUGCUGUUGUUGCAUGGACAAGCUAUUUCAUACUUGUUUGUUCACCUGUUUUAGAAUUUUGAAAUAAAGCUUUUUCCAUAUUUGUAUAUUUUACAAUUUGCCUGAUUCUUUUCAAGCAGAAUUUC